Molecule: ribosomal RNA, 96 nt
Filed under: Pseudomonas aeruginosa
Lineage: Bacteria; Pseudomonadati; Pseudomonadota; Gammaproteobacteria; Pseudomonadales; Pseudomonadaceae
Also listed under: 1 other name
Source: RNAcentral
GGAACCACCUGAUCCCUUCCCGAACUCAGAAGUGAAACGACGCAUCGCCGAUGGUAGUGUGGGGUCUCCCCAUGUGAGAGUAGGUCAUCGUCAAGC